Molecule: non-coding RNA, 349 nt
Organism: Camellia sinensis
Lineage: Eukaryota; Viridiplantae; Streptophyta; Magnoliopsida; Ericales; Theaceae
Source: RefSeq, a predicted model, not a curated record
CAAAACAAAACAAAACAAAAAAACUAGAGGUAAAAAAAUUCCAUGGCUAAUUCCAACAUAAAGCCAGGGGAUUAGGAAUUCAGAUUGUUAAUCAUCCCUCUUCCCUGACCUGUAUAUGUAUAUUUAUUGUGAAAUUAAAUGAUUAGUGUGCGACAAACUUAUUUAUCAAAUUAUGUUAAAGCAUGAUUGCUAAUCACAUUUCUUAAACACUUAUAGAAAACAACAUAUUUUUUAACGUUAAGUGAAAAACAUGAUACACGCUUUAACAUAAUUUGAGAUAUAAGUCAAUUUAUACACUAGUUACGCAAAUUGGUCCGAACAUCCAGUAAUUAAAAAACAAAAUUGAAUU